This is a non-coding RNA of Styela clava, 2261 nucleotides long. The record is from RefSeq and is a predicted model, not a curated record. Lineage: Eukaryota; Metazoa; Chordata; Ascidiacea; Stolidobranchia; Styelidae.
AUAUGUUGGGGGGAAUAUUCACUUGGCUAACACAGACAGUCCCCGAAAUCGUUAUAGAACUAAAAUAAGGGAAAAUCGGAAUAAAAUUAUACUCUAACCUGGUACACAUACUACAGGAAUACCCAAAAAAUUAAUAAUGCUUUCAAGCUGAUAUCUAAUCCUAGUUUGAAGUAUUUCAAGAAUAAAAGUUGAAGAUGUCAACUUAAAACAGCUAUUUUAAGUUUUCACUUGAAGCUCUCGAUAUAUUAUAUUGAGUAAAUGUGCUUGUGGCAACAGUAUUCUUCGUAACCUUAGCUUUUCUCAUGCCCUUAGUGUAGUUUCAUAGGUGCGGUGGCCCACUGGGUGAAGUGUUUAUACCAUUACAGGUUAUCAUCUCUGUUUUGAAUCCCAUUCAUUUAAAAAAAUGUUUCUAUUUACUUUUCUUUAUCUGUUACAUUCAAAGAGUGAAUCGAAGAAUUAGGUAUUUUUAAGUCGGCUUUAGUUGGUCAGUUGUUUAUAUAACCCCAGUCUGCAUUGGCAUAAUUUAGGGGGCUCCCGAAGUAUGCGAACCAAGAUGGCAGACAUCGGAACAUAACCUGGGUAACAGGUUAGGGUUAGGCCAUAAUUUUUUUCCAAUUUUUCUUAUUUUAGUCCUAUUAUCAGUUCGAAGACUAGCCAAGAGCCUCCCGUAGUAUUUAUACCUAAAAUUAUGGCCUAACUCUAACCUAGUACACAUAUUACAUUGCGAUGUCCGCCAUCUUGGUUCGCAUACUUCGGGAGCACUAAAUUUAGGAGUGGCCUAUUUUAGUGAUGCUUCACACCUUUAUGGCUCAUAUUUUAUCUAAUACCUAAUUACAUAUCUGUCCCGAACUCUGAAAUAUUUUCAUCGGUGGUUCAGUUUCAUCUUUUUACAUAUAACAUUUGGUAAAUCUAGAACAUCACCUAGUUCAGUGGUUCCCAAUUGAAGGCCCAUGGCCCCCAAGGGGCCACAGUACAGUUUAAGAGUGGCCAAUAUACUGGGCGCUGAAUUGCUUUUAAUUAAUGCAAUUUUGUUUCAAUACUUCUCCCGUUAAAAAACAUUACUCUUUCCCUGUAGAUCAUUUUCAGUGGCAUAGCCUUUUCCCUUUUUUGUGCACAAAUUGUUUGAUAAUAUUGGAACCUGCCAAUCGAAUUACCAAUAUAAACAUAUUCGCACACUUUGAAUUCUAAUGUUUGUGAUUGGUGGCAUACUAGUACAUACUAAAUACAUCAUAGACUUGUCUGUAUCAAUUUCUUAGGGCGAAUAAACAGGGACCACAAGUACUGAAAGUCUCUGGAAGGGGGCCACGAUCCUUAAAAGGUUGGGAACCACUGGCCUAGUUCAUCAGUGGGGCAAUAACAACUCGUUUUGAGCAAAAUCGAUUAAGACAGUGGUAUCGAUAUCUCCCCUUUAUCUCAUUCAGUCAGUGUCACCUUGCUUUGUUGGAUCAGGCAUCAUUUCAUUCUAUUUUUUUGUUGAUGGUUAUUUUCGUUAUUAUUUAUUCCCAUCAAUUUAAAUCUCAGCACGACUCUAGUUUAUCUGUAGCCGCUUACAGUAUAUUUUUAUUGAUUUAAUCUCUCACUACAGCUUUAGUUUAUCAGCGGUUGGUUGUUUACAGCAAAACCUAGUAAAAUGGGUUGGAAUUGGAAAUCUCGUGAGAUCUGGAUGGAUAGAGGAUACAAAUUGGUUUCCUCUAGUUUAAUAAUCACUACGGUCGUCGGCAGCCUGUUUCUUGGGAAUAUUGUUUAUGAAAUUUUCAAACGAAGAAAAGAGAGAAAAUUAAAAUUCAUCGAGGGAACGCUGCCUGUCGCACAACCACAGGAACAAGCGAUAAACUAUAAUAAUGACGAAGUGUCAAGGAACUAAUGAAAUGACUCUAUCGUGAUAUGGACUCUAAAUGGAAUGGAAAUGUGUGGAAGUCGAUUUAUAUUCAAUGAUUUUUUAAAUUAUUCACGGCUACUAUCCAUGCCUUUCGCUCCAAGGAAGGCUCUGUACAAGCAGCUACUGUUUGGUUAAGGAUUGCCCACCUAAUUUAUCACACCACUAAAUAGUGAUUUUCAGGCUAUAAGUUGUGCAUGCAACCUAGGGCCUUGGUUUUGUGGGUCGGAAAUAAGAUGUAAAAAGAAAAAAACUUGAACCCCUCUCUGAUAUUUCCUGGCUAUGCCCCUGAUACAAGUCAAAGAGUUGUUAGUUUACAUAAGCAUGUGCAGAUAAUUGAAUAUCAAAUUUGAUUAGAUGAAUUUAAUAAAGUGAUUUUUCUAUG